UUUGUUGUGAGGUGUUUGUUCCCUUGGCCUUUUGGGGAAUUGGUGGCAGUGAAAGUGUUUACACUGAGAGUUGUAAGGCCUCAGGGUAGGAAAAGUAGCUUGCUUGGAGUUUGUUACUUUUCCCAUGCUUGGAAGGAUCCAGCUCCGGGCGGGUCCUCCCACAGCCAUAUUCCCAAGGUUAGCUGUCUGAUGGGGCUUGGUGGCUCCGCAGUGUGACUGCUCUAUUCCUUCUGUCCUUGCAUUUGAAUUGCACAGUAAGAUAAAGCCUGCUUUCCUACCAGAUAGGGCCUGGGUGCUGUGGAACACUGGGCAAACAAUGG
Molecule: long non-coding RNA, 320 nt
Filed under: Androctonus crassicauda
Lineage: Eukaryota; Metazoa; Arthropoda; Arachnida; Scorpiones; Buthidae
Source: RNAcentral